GUGCUUGCUUCGGCUGCACAUAUAUUAAAAUGGGAAAAAUACAGAGAUUAGCAUGGCCCCUUCACAAGGAUGACAUGCAAAUUUGUGAAGUGUCCCAUAUUUUG
This is a small nuclear RNA of Sapajus apella (tufted capuchin), 104 nucleotides long. Lineage: Eukaryota; Metazoa; Chordata; Mammalia; Primates; Cebidae. The record is from RefSeq and is a predicted model, not a curated record.